GACGAACGCUGGCGGCGUGCUUAACACAUGCUAGUCGAACGGAAAGGCCCCCAUCUUGGUGGGGGUGCUCGAGUGGCGAACGGGUGAGUAACACGUGGGUGAUCUGCCCUGUACUUCGGGAUAAGCUUGGGAAACUGGGUCUAAUACCGGAUAGGACCAUGGUUUAGUGUCUCAUGGUGGAAAGAUUAUUGUUUUGGUGCAGGAUGAGCUCGCGGCCUAUCAGCUUGUUGGUGGGGUAAUGGCCUACCAAGGCGUCGACGGGUAGCCGGCCUGAGAGGGUGGACGGCCACAUUGGGACUGAGAUACGGCACAGACUCCUACGGGAGGCAGCAGUGGGGAAUAUUGCACAAUGGGCGCAAGCCUGAUGCAGCGACGCCGCGUGGGGGAUGACGGCCGUCGGGUUGUAAACUCCUUUCGUUAGGGACGAAGCCGCACUUUUUUUGGGUGUGGUGACGGUACCUUUGUGAAGAAGCACCGGCUAACUACGUG
RNAcentral lists this ribosomal RNA (489 nucleotides) under uncultured bacterium. RNAcentral's name for it is "partial 16S ribosomal RNA". It matches the Rfam family "Bacterial small subunit ribosomal RNA", at positions 28 to 507 of the family's 1533-position model. The record is from RNAcentral.